This 427-nucleotide ribosomal RNA is filed under the name uncultured Luteolibacter sp. RNAcentral describes it as "bacterial SSU rRNA". It matches the Rfam family "Bacterial small subunit ribosomal RNA", at positions 355 to 774 of the family's 1533-position model. Lineage: Bacteria; Pseudomonadati; Verrucomicrobiota; Verrucomicrobiia; Verrucomicrobiales; Verrucomicrobiaceae. The record is from RNAcentral.
UCGAGAAUAAUUCACAAUGGGGGCAACCCUGAUGGUGCAACGCCGCGUGGAGGAUGACGGUCUUCGGAUUGUAAACUCCUGUCAUCCGGGAGUAAGACCUGGCUGUGAAUAGCAGACAGGGUUGAUAGUACCGGAAGAGGAAGGGACGGCUAACUUCGUGCCAGCAGCCGCGGUAAUACGAAGGUCCCGAGCGUUGUUCGGAAUCACUGGGCGUAAAGGGAGCGUAGGCGGCGCGGUAAGUCAGAUGUGAAAUCCCGGGGCUCAACCCCGGAACUGCAUCCGAUACUGCCGUGCUAGAGGAUUGGAGAGGUAGCUGGAAUUCUUGGUGUAGCAGUGAAAUGCGUGGAGAUCAAGAGGAACACUCGUGGCGAAAGCGAGCUACUGGACAAUAUCUGACGCUGAGGCUCGAAGGCCAGGGUAGCGAAAG